This 498-nucleotide ribosomal RNA is filed under the name uncultured bacterium. RNAcentral describes it as "partial 16S ribosomal RNA". It matches the Rfam family "Bacterial small subunit ribosomal RNA", at positions 28 to 508 of the family's 1533-position model. The record is from RNAcentral.
GAUGAACGCUGGCGGCGUGCCUAAUACAUGCAAGUCGAGCGAACAGACGAGGAGCUUGCUCCUCUGACGUUAGCGGCGGACGGGUGAGUAACACGUGGAUAACCUACCUAUAAGACUGGGAUAACUUCGGGAAACCGGAGCUAAUACCGGAUAAUAUAUUGAACCGCAUGGUUCAAUAGUGAAAGACGGUUUUGCUGUCACUUAUAGAUGGAUCCGCGCCGCAUUAGCUAGUUGGUAAGGUAACGGCUUACCAAGGCAACGAUGCGUAGCCGACCUGAGAGGGGGGAGGGCCCACCGGGGAACGAAGCCCGGGCCAGGCUCCCGCGGGGGGGAGCAGUGGGGGAUUCUCCGGAAAGGGGGGAAGCCCGGAGGGGACACCGCGGGGGGAGGGAGGAGGGUUUUGGAAUCAAAAAACUUUUUUAUGGGGGAAAAAAAAAUGUGAAAGUAACUAUGCCCGUCUGGAGGUUCCCUAAAAAGAAGGCCACGGCAACCUCCGGC